GAUGAACGCUGGCGGCGUGCCUAAUACAUGCAAGUCGAGCGAACAGACGAGGAGCUUGCUCCUCUGACGUUAGCGGCGGACGGGUGAGUAACACGUGGAUAACCUACCUAUAAGACUGGGAUAACUUCGGGAAACCGGAGCUACUACCGGCUAAUAUAUUGAACCGCAUGGUUCAAUAGUGCAAGACGGCUUUGCUGUCACUAUUAGAUGGAUCCGCGCCGCAUUAGCUAGUUGGUAAGGUAACGGCUUACCAAGGCAACGAUGCGUAGCCGACCUGAGAGGGUGAUCGGCCACACUGGAACUGAGACACGGUCCAGACUCCUACGGGAGGCAGCAGUAGGGAAUCUUCCGCAAUGGGCGAAAGCCUGACGGAGCAACGCCGCGUGAGUGAUGAAGGUCUUCGGAUCGUAAAGCUCUGUUAUUAGGGAAGAACAAAUGUGUAAGUAACUAUGCACGUCUUGACGGUACCUAAUCAGAAAGCCACGGCUAACUACGUG
This 497-nucleotide ribosomal RNA is filed under the name uncultured bacterium. Its description in RNAcentral is "partial 16S ribosomal RNA". It matches the Rfam family "Bacterial small subunit ribosomal RNA", at positions 28 to 507 of the family's 1533-position model. The record is from RNAcentral.